UGCCCAGCAACUCCUAUCCCUACCUCCUCGUGGUACUGGCUUGGAGAAGAUCGGGUAACCAACCCCCGGUGGGAACUUUGGUCGUAUGCUGACAGGGAAGU
This 101-nucleotide ribozyme is filed under the name Aedes aegypti (yellow fever mosquito). Its description in RNAcentral is "drz-agam-1 ribozyme". It matches the Rfam family "drz-agam-1 ribozyme". The record is from Rfam by way of RNAcentral. Lineage: Eukaryota; Metazoa; Arthropoda; Insecta; Diptera; Culicidae.